RNAcentral lists this ribosomal RNA (465 nucleotides) under Vreelandella stevensii. Its description in RNAcentral is "partial 16S ribosomal RNA". It matches the Rfam family "Bacterial small subunit ribosomal RNA", at positions 338 to 795 of the family's 1533-position model. Lineage: Bacteria; Pseudomonadati; Pseudomonadota; Gammaproteobacteria; Oceanospirillales; Halomonadaceae. The record is from RNAcentral.
CCUACGGGGGGCAGCAGUGGGGAAUAUUGGACAAUGGGGGCAACCCUGAUCCAGCCAUGCCGCGUGUGUGAAGAAGGCCCUCGGGUUGUAAAGCACUUUCAGUGAGGAAGAACGCCUGGUGGUUAAUACCCAUCAGGAAAGACAUCACUCACAGAAGAAGCACCGGCUAACUCCGUGCCAGCAGCCGCGGUAAUACGGAGGGUGCGAGCGUUAAUCGGAAUUACUGGGCGUAAAGCGCGCGUAGGUGGCUUGAUAAGCCGGUUGUGAAAGCCCCGGGCUCAACCUGGGAACGGCAUCCGGAACUGUCAAGCUAGAGUGCAGGAGAGGAAGGUAGAAUUCCCGGUGUAGCGGUGAAAUGCGUAGAGAUCGGGAGGAAUACCAGUGGCGAAGGCGGCCUUCUGGACUGACACUGACACUGAGGUGCGAAAGCGUGUGUAGCAAACAGGAUUAGAUACCCGGGUAGUC